RNAcentral lists this ribosomal RNA (253 nucleotides) under uncultured bacterium. RNAcentral describes it as "partial 16S ribosomal RNA". It matches the Rfam family "Bacterial small subunit ribosomal RNA", at positions 524 to 776 of the family's 1533-position model. The record is from RNAcentral.
UACGUAGGGACCGAGCGUUGUCCGGAUUCAUUGGGCGUAAAGAGCUCGUAGGCGGCUGCUCAAGUCGAAUGUGAAAACUCGAGGCUCAACCUCGAGCCUGCAUUCGAUACUGGGCGGCUAGAGUCUGGUAGGGGGAUCUGGAAUUCCUGGUGUAGCGGUGGAAUGCGCAGAUAUCAGGAGGAACACCGGUGGCGAAGGCGGGAUCCUGGGCCAGUACUGACGCUGAGACGCGAAAGCGUGGGGAGCGAACAGG